RNAcentral lists this long non-coding RNA (4978 nucleotides) under Sus scrofa (pig). Its description in RNAcentral is "lncRNA (ENSSSCG00065040078.1)". Lineage: Eukaryota; Metazoa; Chordata; Mammalia; Artiodactyla; Suidae. The record is from RNAcentral.
GGGAAUCCAUGCGGUAGCACGUGGAGCCCUGUGCAGCUGAGCGCGCCUUUCUCUUUCAUGAUAUCAAGGAUAUUCCGUCAGCCUCAGAAUCUCUUUCCCAUGGAAAAGGAGCAGCCCCGGGCUCAUGGCUCCUCUGAACACCUGGGGUCGGCGGGUGAAUACAGACAAAAAUGCAAGGACUUAGAUUAUCUACAAAAUUCAAGUGUGUGCGGGACCUACCUCCCCUCAACAAUUACAGACAGAGGCUGUGGCGAUAUCAACUCAGGACAGAGUGGUGGAUGGGACGUGGCCACUUAACCUGAGGAUCGGGGACUGCGGCAACCGCAUACUCCUAAGAGCAUCCUUGGGCUUCUGGUCCCUGCCUUGAGAGGGGACAGCCCAAGGACGUAGCGGGAUGGAACCAGAGGCAUACAUCAUCCUCAGCCACGCAUUAGGACAGCUGGGAGAUGUUCCAAAUGGCUGAUGGGAGUCGCUAGCAAGCCCCACACCCACCCCUGGGGUGUAGGACACCUGAGAGCAGCCUAAGGGACCCCCAGGCACAUCGAUAGUGACCCAGGAGCCCACUGUCCUGGCCACCAAGUCCAGGAAUAGGAGAUGCAAACGUCACACCAGGCACUUCCAUCUGCCGACAGACCACAGCUGCUGGGCUAUGCCUUGACUCUUGACAGCCCAGUCGAGAUGAGAAAGCCCCUUUCUCAACCUGGGACACAUCCUAGGAACAAUCACCCCAGUCUGUAUACCUUGUUAACUCAGGGGGCAGCUUGUCAGCACCAUCCCAGUUCCAUAGUCCACCCCUGAGGGACCAAAGCAGAGGACAGUAACUUGCUUUUGAACACCGCACAGUGUCUGCCUGCAGGGGACACACUAGCACGUGGCUCUGAGACUGGCAGAAACCCUGCCAGCGGAAAGAGACAAGCGGCCUUCGGAAGAUGAGGAAUAGCCAGGUUUAUGGAGCACCAGUGUGGGCUCAGAGGAGUCGCCUCCAAAGUGGGAGCACCAGGUCUUUGCUCUGGGUAACUUUUACGCCAUACAGACUUCCAAGUCUUGUUUUCCCGGCACAAGCAGCCUGGCCCUCCCCCUUCCCCAAGCAGACAGUGUGCCUACCUAAGAAGCUGAGUAAGCAAGAUUACAAGAACAGAACUGAUCAGCAAUGCUUGGAGCAUGGCUAGCAGAGCUGCUAGCAAGGACAUGAGGCACGUUGUUGCUACAAGAUGACCAGAAGGAUGGUUUGGGGUGAGUAAAUCUGCUGUCAGGCGCGUAGCUGCCUCCUCAGCUGGAGGGUGGGGGUGGGGAGGGCUGUUUCUCCAGUUAAAAUGCUUACUUCACUUCCUUUCUGAUUUCUUACCAAUUUUACCAAACACCCACUUGUUCAAGAGCAUUGGGAUUGAAAAAAAUAAAGACCUUCCCUCAAGGAAUCACACCCAAGGGAGAAACCUGCUGAGGUCAUUGCAACUCAGAACACUUGUCAUUUUCUGUUUUAGUCUAACCCUGGCAAUCUUCUGUGUUUCGUGACUUCCAUAUUUCCCUGUCACUGAUUUCAGUAGCAUCUUCCUAGUAGUUUGCAGCAGGUAUGCAGCUCUGCUCGUUCUGUUCAUGGUCGGCUGUUUGCACAAAUUCUUCCAGUGAAAUACAAUGAACUGAAUUAACACAGCCCACUGCUUACCUAUUUAUAUGAAAACAGAAAAUUGUACAUCUCUAAUACAGUCUCUAUGACUUUCCUAUGUAAACCCUUGCAACUCAGAGAGAUCCCAUUGUGGCACAGUGAAAAGAAUCUGACUAGUAUCCAUCAAGUUGUGGCUUUGAUCCCUGGCCUUGCUCAGUGGGUCGGGGAUCUGGCGUUACUGUGAGCUGUGGUAUAAGUCACAGAUGAGGCUCAGAUCCCAAGUUGCUGUGGCUGUGGGGUCAGCUGGCAGCUGCAACUCUGAUCGGACCCCUAGCCUGGGAACUUCCAUAUGCCAUGGGUGCAGCCCUAAAAAGCAAAAAAAAAAAAAAUCCAUACCAUUCAAGUGCAUUUAGGGCAAUGAGUUGGAUAAACACAUAAGAGCUACACCAGGAUAGGCAGGGGAGGCAGAGAAAGGCACAUCCCGUUGCUGCAGCUCCUGGGGUCUAUUUUCAGUGUCUUGAGGAGAUUCCAGUCCUACCCACCUCUGAACACCUUCCUCUCUUCAGGAGUCUCGUUGGUUCAUUUCUUCUCCUGAGGAAAUUGCUCUAAUUUGUAUUGUCUGUCAUUAGCUUUCUCCAAGAAAACCAUGGUCAGCAAACACCCCCAGCUCCAUCACCUGUGGCUCCUACCUGAAGAUACAGGUAUGUCAUCCAAGCAUGUGUGAGGAUGUCAAGGAUGGCUGAGCUGGGGUGUGAUGGAAAGAACAGCGCUUCUGAGACAACUUGGAGAUGUUUGUAGUUUUCAAGAAUUGGAAGCUCUGAGAGAAAACCCAUUGCUCGCUUUGGAGUUCAGCCUUCCCAUCAUCAUAAAUUGAUAAAACACCCCUUUCUAGCCAGUCCCUUCAAGAUGAUGGUUCUCAUGGCCUCUGUCCAUCCCCUGUUUGACUAGUCCUGGCUUUAGACACCUAACAACGCACUCCUCUUCAUGAUAGGGCAUAAUUAGUAAUCACCUACCUGCUUGCGCCCAUCAUCCCUGCCCCAGAAGCUGGUUUCCCUGGUAACCGAUGAGCCAACCUGACAUCAAUUCCCCUAUCAAUGGUAGCCUCCCCUCCCCUGAGUAGCCAAGACUGUUGCCGUGUCCUGUCCUUUGUCUUUUGCACAUGGCGUGGUGUCCUGGUGCUCUAGGACCUUUCUUCAGAGGUGUGAGAUUUCCCUCAUCUUCUAAACCAUCAGCGUCUCUGUUGCUGACUCCAAGCCUUCUCUUUGGUCUUGAGGCCAGAAAAGGACAGAGCUUGCAGAGCUGUGGGGUGCAGCCUAGCAAAGGGCUACCUCACAGGACACCUAUAAGAUACUCUACAAACAUAAUGUAUAUUUUGAACUUAAAAGGUUCCAGCAAACUAAAUAAGGAUAUUCUGCCUCCGUUCAUCGAGGGCUCCAAAGUCAUUAAAAAACAAACCAAAGGUGAUCUUGCUAAAAGUAACCAAAUCAAAAGUAGAGGCUACAUCCAGGACCCAAGAUAUGUUCCCCAUAUCUCAUUUGUGGGAAAAAGGCUUCAGCCUCCUAAACCUUCCCUGAGUUCCAUUACGCUGAUGAGUAAUCACUGGGAUUACUCAAUAGGGAAGGUAGAGGACAAAGGAGGAGCUGUCAAGAGACAACAGUGCAGAUGCCAAGCCCAGCUGUCCCCCUUGGAGUUUCCUGGUCUUCAGGGACCUGCUGUCUAGCACAGGGAACUCUACCCAAUAGUCUGUGGUCAUCUAGGUGGGAGAUGAAUCUAAAAGAGAAUGGAUGUGUGGACAUGUAUCAGUGAAUCACUUGGUGGUACAGCUGAAAUGAUCAUAGCCUUGUAUCAACUGGACUUCAAGAAAAUGUUUAACAAGUGAAAAAUAAAAAAAGAAACAACACUGCAGCCGUAAAGCAGGGUCCUGGUUCCUCCUUGAGGGUCCUACAGAGCAAUAUGCCCCUGAGCUCUUCUGCAGGAAGGAAGCCCCCAUCCUGGUGCAGGAUGCUCACUUCAGGCCAAGCACAAGCAGGUGGAGCCUCGACUCACUAGAACCGGAAGGCUGAUGACUGAGAUCCCUGGAACUCCGCCCUGUGACCUCCCCACCAACCAAUCAGGGAAGGUUCACACUCCCUGCAGCCCUUCUCCCAGGUGUUGCCUAUCACACCUCUUCUCCCAAAACCCUUGAGUUUGCAUCUGUUAAGCAUGAGCCACUUAAUCUCCUGGCUCAGCCCUGCAGUAAACCUUCCUCUGCCCCAAACUCUAUCCUUCCAGUUUGUUUGACCUACAACAAUGUUGGCAAACUGGCCAGGAGCCCGUCCAUGCCUGUGGCAGUUCGACCCCAGCCAGGGAAGUGGGGGACCCCCAGAAGCUGCCAGAGGUCCUUUUGCUCCAAGGAAUUCAGAGGGACUCUUCCUGAUGACACCAGUGAUCCUCAGCAUGAGGCUUCUGGAGUGAAGAAACUGAACCAGCAUCCACCUUUGGUUUGGUUUGGAGGUGAGUUGCUCCAGCAGUUGUUUAAGAAUUCCUCUGCUCCGGGGUCACCCUCUUUUGAGAGCUGGGUCCAUCUGUUGAGAGGUCUCCGUCUGGGAGUGGGAGCAGAAUGUGGGGACUCCACCUCAGCUGAUCUUCUGUCUGUGUGACCAUACUUGUUGUUUGUACCUUGGGUGUGUGUUGCAUCAGCUGGUGGGGGUGUCUCCAUUGGGCUUCAUCUCCAUUGGGCAUUGGUUGGCAUUCUCUCCUCUCCCAUGGACUCAGCCUUGGUCAUUAGGCUUUAUCUCUGAUGAGGCAUUGGUUGGAGUUUUUUCCCAUGGACUCAGCCUUGGUCAUUUGGCUUCAUGUAUGAUGGGGCAUUGGUUGGAGUUCUCUCCUGUGGACUCAGCCUUGGUCAUUGGGCUUCAUUUCUGAUGGGAGAUUGGCUGGGACUCUCCCUUUCUGGGGCUAGGGGAACUGUGACCCCCUCGAAAUGGUUUUGCGUUGCCAUCAUUUACUCUUGGCUUGAUACAAGACCCGCUGUGAAUAAUUGCCAGUAAUCAGAGCUCCAUUCCACCUUAUAGUUCCCUGGAGUGUAUUUGGCAAAACUGGGAGAUCUUUGGUGGUGUUCCUAAGAAUGAAAGAAACUGAGGGAGUUCCUGUCGUGGCUCAGUGGUCACAAACCCAACUAGAGGACGUGGGUUCGAUCCCUGGCCUUGCUCAGUGGGUUAAGGAUCCUGCAUUGCCGUGAGCUGUGGUGUAGGUCACAGACACGGCUUGGAUCUGGUGUUGCCUUGGUUGUGGUGCAGGGUGGCAGCUGCGGCUCCAAUUCAACCCCUGGCCUGGGAAAUUCUGUAUGCUGCAGGUGCAGCCCUAAAAAAGAAAGAAAGAAACAGAAAGAAAGAA